GACGAACGCUGGCGGCGCGCUUAACACAUGCAAGUCGAACGGAAAGGCCUGCUUUCCCUUGUGGAUUGCGGGUACUCGCGUGGCGAACGGGUGAGUAACACGUGAGUGAUCUGCCCCCAACUUGGGUAUAAGCCUGGGAAACUGGGUCUAAUUCCCGAUAGGACUGCAGGGUGGUGCCUGUGGUGGAACACGAUUUUCUAGUGGUUGGGGAUGAGCUCGCGGCCUAUCAGCUUGUUGGUGGGGUAAUGGCCUACCAAGGCGGCGACGGGUAGCCGGCCUGAGAGAGUGGGCGGCCACAGUGGAACUGAGAUACGGCCCAGACUCCUACGGGAGGCAGCAGUGGGGAAUAUUGCACAAUGGGCGGAAGCCUGAUGCAGCGACGCCGCGUGGGGGAUGACGGCCUUCGGGUUGUAAACUCCUUUCGACCGCGAGGAAGCCACCUGGUUGGAAGGGUGGUGACGGUAGUGGUAGAAGAAGCACCGGCUAACUACGUG
RNAcentral lists this ribosomal RNA (494 nucleotides) under uncultured bacterium. RNAcentral describes it as "partial 16S ribosomal RNA". It matches the Rfam family "Bacterial small subunit ribosomal RNA", at positions 28 to 507 of the family's 1533-position model. The record is from RNAcentral.